CCACCUUCUUUUUACCGAUGCCUGAGGUUCACUAGGCUGUUAUAUUUUGUGACACUGAAUUUGGAUAUGAAGAUUUCUUAUCUUUUCUUUGCUGUUCUCUUCUUAGUGCUCCAAAGCACUUUAGGUUUUAUGCGUGCACCUAAUAAUGAGAUGCAGUGCAAAAACGCUGGGGGCUUUUGCUUCAUGGAUCGCUGUCCUUCUGACAU
Non-coding RNA from Tinamus guttatus (white-throated tinamou), 206 nucleotides. NCBI's taxonomy places the organism in Eukaryota, Metazoa, Chordata, Aves, Tinamiformes, Tinamidae. The record is from RefSeq and is a predicted model, not a curated record.